RNAcentral lists this unclassified non-coding RNA (338 nucleotides) under Hevea brasiliensis (rubber tree). Lineage: Eukaryota; Viridiplantae; Streptophyta; Magnoliopsida; Malpighiales; Euphorbiaceae. The record is from RNAcentral.
GCCAAUGUUUUGUCCAAGUAAAAUCCUAUGAUCUGAAGUGCAUAAAUUAAGAAGUUCACCAAUCUGAACCAUCAGGGAAAGGAUUCAGUGCAUCCUGCUUUCCAUUGACGUAGAAGUCGACCACGGCUUUCAUUCGAGGAAACUUAUCGGGAUGGUAAUUCACAUGAACAAUGACUGGCUUCAACUUUUUCAGAUUAUCAUCCUUCCUUACAGUCUUGAAUAGAACCUUACUAUUCAUGAAAAGAUAGAAAUCCAUAGUUCUCCUAGAGGCAUAAAGCCCCUCGUAGUUUGAAUGCGAAGGGAAAAACAGUUCCUCAUUGAAAACAGCCUGGUCCCAG